Molecule: ribosomal RNA, 468 nt
Filed under: uncultured bacterium
Lineage: Bacteria
Description: partial 16S ribosomal RNA
Rfam family: Bacterial small subunit ribosomal RNA
Source: RNAcentral
GACGAACGCUGGCGGCGUGCUUAACACAUGCAAGUUGAACGGAAAGGCCCUGCUUUUGUGGGGUGCUCGAGUGGCGAACGGGAGAGUCACACGUGAGUAACCUGACCUUGACUGUGGGAUAACUUCAGGAAACUGGGGGUAAUACCGGAUAGGAGCUCAUGCUGCAUGGGGGGGGCUGGAGAGUGUCGGCGGAGGGGGAUGGACGGGCGGCUUAUGAGCUGGUGGGUGGGGGAGUGACUUACCAAGGCAUUGACGGGUAGCCGGCCGGAGCGGGUGACCGGCCGCAUCGCUGCUGCGAUGACGCCCCGACUCCUCCGGGAGGCAGCAGUAGGGAAUAAUGCACAGCGGGCGGAGGCCGGAUGCAGCAGCGCCGCGUGGUGGAUGAAGGCCUUCGGGUUGUAGUCCGCUUUCGCUUUUGACGAAGAGUGAGUGACGGUAACUGGUAAAGAAGCACCGGCUAACUCCGUG